UGGUUCUCAGAAUCACCUGGAAGCUGGUUAAAACCCAGUUUGCUGGACCCUCCCUCAGAAUUUCUAACUCAGCAGCUCUGAAGUGGGCCAAGAAUUUGCACCAAGUCUCCAAAGGAUGCUGGUGCCUUUGAUCCAGGGACCACACUGCUCAAGAGGCGCUCACCACAUGAAGAGUCAACUCAUUUCCAUGGAGCCUGUGUUCCCUGCAAGCCCAUACUCUCCCCGAGGGCAGGAACUUCAGCUCUGCUUUUUUCCACAAUGGGACAAUGCUGGAGACUUCCUAAGUAUUUGUUGAAUGAAUUAAUGAAUCCUGUUAAUUAUUUUGACUUUUUGAUCUUUGAGGACUUUCUAAUUUCCCCUGAUUGCAGGGGAAAUGCUCUAGGAAAGAAGAUCCAAAGGAAAGGAGAAAAGAAAACAAGAGAAGAAAAGAAGGGGGAAAAGGAAGGAGCUCUUUUCACAAAGCAAGACUUUUUAGUAUUGCCUAGGGGUGUCCUUGUGCCUCUGCUUCAGCGUUCAAAGCUGUCCUUUGUGAUAACACUGGGCCAGCAGGAGAAUCCAAGAUCAUCUCCUCAUCUCAAGAUCUUUAACUUGGUCACUUCUGCAGAGUUCCUUUGCCAUGUAAGGUGACAUUGUUUCUGGGGAUUAAGUUGUGCACAUCAGGGGCUAUUAUUCUGGCAAGCACAGUCAUCAUUCUAGGUUUCUAUGGAACCAACUCAUUAUUCUGGAAAUUGGUAAAUAAAAGACAGGAUGAAGUAUUUAUCCUGCCUUUUUCUCUACAAACUCUACUUCGGGGUUGUCAAAUAGUUAAUGAAAGAAAGUUUCUUUUUAAAUAAAUAACCUAACUAAUAAGUUAUGAGAGGAGGAAAGAUCAGAAUAUCACCACUAUGCAACCCUAAUGAAGUAAUGUAUCUAACAAUGGUCAUCAAUAACUGCUAAAACCGUUUGAUGGAAAGCUCUUGGUAAACUUUAUAUUAAUUGGCUCACCUGGAUACACUGGCCAAUGUUAACAUCACAAAAGGAGAGACAACCAGGUAUCA
RNAcentral lists this long non-coding RNA (1037 nucleotides) under Papio anubis (olive baboon). RNAcentral's name for it is "lncRNA (ENSPANG00000047354.1)". The record is from RNAcentral. Lineage: Eukaryota; Metazoa; Chordata; Mammalia; Primates; Cercopithecidae.